Small nucleolar RNA from Elaeis guineensis (African oil palm), 77 nucleotides. RefSeq annotates it as small nucleolar RNA Z155. Lineage: Eukaryota; Viridiplantae; Streptophyta; Magnoliopsida; Arecales; Arecaceae. The record is from RefSeq and is a predicted model, not a curated record.
CGUUGAUAUGAGGAUAACAUUUGCUGAAAAAAAAGUGUUGACUGAAAAAAAAUCAGACUACAAUUAUCUGAUCAACG